RNAcentral lists this ribosomal RNA (536 nucleotides) under uncultured bacterium. RNAcentral's name for it is "bacterial SSU rRNA". It matches the Rfam family "Bacterial small subunit ribosomal RNA", at positions 777 to 1312 of the family's 1533-position model. The record is from RNAcentral.
AAUAGAUACCCGGGUAGUCCACGCCGUAAACGAUGAGUGCUAAGUGUUAGGGGGUUUCCGCCCCUUAGUGCUGCAGCUAACGCAUUAAGCACUCCGCCUGGGGAGUACGGUCGCAAGACUGAAACUCAAAGGAAUUGACGGGGGCCCGCACAAGCGGUGGAGCAUGUGGUUUAAUUCGAAGCAACGCGAAGAACCUUACCAGGUCUUGACAUCCCGCUGACCGCUAUGGAGACAUAGCUUUCCCUUCGGGGACAGCGGUGACAGGUGGUGCAUGGUUGUCGUCAGCUCGUGUCGUGAGAUGUUGGGUUAAGUCCCGCAACGAGCGCAACCCUUGUCCUUAGUUGCCAUCAUUCAGUUGGGCACUCUAAGGAGACUGCCGUACAAAUACGGAGGAAGGUGGGGAUGACGUCAAAUCAUCAUGCCCCUUAUGACCUGGGCUACACACGUGCUACAAUGGACGGUACAAACGGUUGCGAAGUCGCGAGACGGAGCCAAUCCGAGAAAGCCGUUCUCAGUUCGGAUUGCAGGCUGCAACG